RNAcentral lists this ribosomal RNA (482 nucleotides) under uncultured bacterium. Its description in RNAcentral is "partial 16S ribosomal RNA". It matches the Rfam family "Bacterial small subunit ribosomal RNA", at positions 30 to 507 of the family's 1533-position model. The record is from RNAcentral.
AUUGAACGCUGGCGGCAUGCCUUACACAUGCAAGUCGAACGGUAACGGGCCUUCGGGUGCCGACGAGUGGCGAACGGGUGCGUAAUACAUCGGAACGUGCCCGAUCGUGGGGGAUAACGAGGCGAAAGCUUUGCUAAUACCGCAUACGAUCUACGGAUGAAAGCAGGGGGCCGCAAGGCCUUGCGCGGACGGAGCGGCCGAUGGCAGAUUAGGUAGUUGGUGGGAUAAAAGCUUACCAAGCCGACGAUCUGUAGCUGGUCUGAGAGGAUGAUCAGCCACACUGGGACUGAGACACGGCCCAGACUCCUACGGGAGGCAGCAGUGGGGAAUCUUGGACAAUGGGCGCAAGCCUGAUCCAGCCAUGCCGCGUGCAGGAUGAAGGCCUUCGGGUUGUAAACUGCUGUUGUACGGAACGAAAAGCCUUCCUUUAAUACAGGAGGGUCAUGACGGUACCGUAAGAAUAAGCACCGGCUAACUACGUG